This 66-nucleotide transfer RNA is filed under the name Tapeinus singularis. RNAcentral's name for it is "tRNA-Asn". The record is from RNAcentral. Lineage: Eukaryota; Metazoa; Arthropoda; Insecta; Hemiptera; Reduviidae.
UUAAUCGAAGCCAAAGCAGAGGCCUUUCAUUGUUAAUGAAAAAAAUGAUAACACUAUCCGAUUAAA